This 1022-nucleotide long non-coding RNA is filed under the name Ananas comosus (pineapple). RNAcentral describes it as "long non-coding RNA (ACOM_LNC007015)". The record is from RNAcentral. Lineage: Eukaryota; Viridiplantae; Streptophyta; Magnoliopsida; Poales; Bromeliaceae.
UUCCGGUGAAGUUCGGUGAGGUUCGGGAGCAUUCGGGCGAUUCGGUGCGCGUAGGCGUGGAAACGGAACCCGAAAGGCUAUGUUGGGCCAUGAGUUAAAUCCGGCAUUAGCGUGGAUGAAAAGAUGAAGAAAACAUGCUCGAAAACAUGUUUGGAGAGUCUCGGUUCGAUUUGAAACGAAUCGGAGGUCAAACGGUCGAAAACGGAGCGAAAACGGACCCCGAAAGCUAAAAAAGCUGAAAAUUUGGCUAAGUCUGGAAUGCUGUUUUUCUAGACAUUCGGGGACCGGUCCCUCAAGUCCAAAGACCGGUCCCAGCACCCGAAAAUGGCCCAGUUUGGGCUGUGUGUGACUUAUAUUGUUGAGGGACCUUGGUGCAAUUGUGCCAAGGGUAUAGAGAGGGUUGGGGGCUCAUUUCCUCUCCUUCUCCCUCACAUUGCAACCAAAAGAGUACCCCUCUCUCUCUCAAGCUCUCCUCUCUCUCUCUACAAGGGUGGAUCUUGGAGGAGGAUUUGGUGGAGAACAAGAUCAAGAGAGGGAUUAGCAUCUUCUUCUUCUUCCUCUCCACCAUUGGAGCUUGCUUUGGAGGUAAGCUUGCUACCCCUUUAAUGGUAGAUCUCUAGGGCUUUGGUCUUAUGCUCUAGAAAUGGAUUUAGUAGCCUUCCUAGAUGCUAAUUGAUGGAUUAUGCUUAGAUCCAAAGGUUUGAUGGUCGGUUUUUGUCUAAUUGCGACCUAGAGCUCCAAAAUGGGAUUUUUGCAAAUAUAGGGUUUUGAUCUCAUUUGAGUGGUCAGAAACCUAAUGGUUAUGUCUCCGAACGUGUAGGAAGCGACGGUUCGUCGAUUCGUUGAGCGGGUGCGACGUUCCGGCUGAAACAAGUGCUAGAGGGUUCGUUUUGGCCCGACGAGCCGAGGCGGCGUGCGAAGACCGCGGAGACAAGUUUUCUAACCUUUCGGCGUUACCAAAAGGUGGGGGAGUGCCAUCCCGAAGCAGUCAGGCUACUCUUUAUGUCUAAGUGCUAAGUUGA